RNAcentral lists this ribosomal RNA (215 nucleotides) under uncultured bacterium. RNAcentral describes it as "partial 16S ribosomal RNA". It matches the Rfam family "Bacterial small subunit ribosomal RNA", at positions 338 to 543 of the family's 1533-position model. The record is from RNAcentral.
CCUACGGGAGGCAGCAGUGGGGAAUUUUGGACAAUGGGGGAAACCCUGAUCCAGCCAUGCCGCGUGAGUGAAGAAGGCCUUCGGGUUGUAAAGCUCUUUCAGCCGGAACGAAACGGUCACGGUUAAUACCUGUGAUCACUGACGGUACCGGAAGAAGAAGCACCGGCUAACUACGUGCCAGCAGCCGCGGUAAUACGUAGGGUGCGAGCGUUAAU